Molecule: non-coding RNA, 22 nt
Filed under: Mus musculus (house mouse)
Lineage: Eukaryota; Metazoa; Chordata; Mammalia; Rodentia; Muridae
Source: RNAcentral
AGGUCAGGAAGCAGGAGCUGAU